CAGUCGCCACGGUAAUACGGAGGGAGCUAGCGUUGUUCGGAAUCACUGGGCGUAAAGCGCACGUAGGCGGCUAUUCAAGUCAGGGGUGAAAGCCCGGGGCUCAACCCCGGAACUGCCUUUGAAACUAGAUAGCUUGAAUCUUGGAGAGGCGAGUGGAAUUCCGAGUGUAGAGGUGAAAUUCGUAGAUAUUCGGAAGAACGCCAGUGGCGAAGGCGACUCGCUGGACAAGUAUUGACGCUGAGGUGCGAAAGCGUGGGGAGCAAACAGGAUUAGAUACCCGCGUAGUCCCUGUCUCUUAUAA
Molecule: ribosomal RNA, 301 nt
Filed under: uncultured bacterium
Lineage: Bacteria
Description: partial 16S ribosomal RNA
Rfam family: Bacterial small subunit ribosomal RNA
Source: RNAcentral